CUAUUAAACUGAACCAGUCAACUGAGCCAGAAUGGGGCCUACUGAACUGAACCAGUCAAUUGAGCCAGAAUGGGGCCUACUGAACUGAACCAGUCAAUUGAGCCAGAAUGGGGCUAAUGAACUGAACCAGUCAACUGAGCCAGAAUGGGGCCUACUGAACUGAACCAGUCAACUGAGCCAGAAUGGGGCCUACUGAACUGAACCAGUUAAUUGAGCCAGAAUGGGGCUAAUGAACUGAACCAGUCAAUUGAGCCAGAAUGGAGCCUACUGAACUUGGAGGUAGGAGCUGUUCAGCAGUCUCAUGGCUUGGAGGUAGGAGCUGUUCAGCAGUCUCAUGGCUUGGAGGUAGGAGCUGUUCAGCAGUCUCAUGGCUUGGAGGUAGGAGCUGUUCAGCAGUCUCAUGGCUUGGAGGUAGGAGCUGUUCAGCAGUCUCAUGGCUUGGAGGUAGGAGCUGUUCAGCAGUCUCAUGGCUUGGAGGUAGGAGCUGUUCAGCAGUCUCAUGGCUUGGAGGUAGGAGCUGUUCAGCAGUCUCAUGGCUUGGAGGUAGGAGCUGUUCAGCAGUCUCAUGGCUUGGAGGUAGGAGCUGUUCAGCAGUCUCAUGGCUUGGAGGUAGGAGCUGUUCAGCAGUCUCAUGGCUUGGAGGUAGGAGCUGUUCAGCAGUCUCAUGGCUUGGAGGUAGGAGCUGUUCAGCAGUCUCAUGGCUUGGAGGUAGGAGCUGUUCAGCAGUCUCAUGGCUUGGAGGUAGGAGCUGUUCAGCAGUCUCAUGGCUUGGAGGUAGGAGCUGUUCAGCAAUCUCAUGGCUUGGAGGUAGGAGCUGUUCAGCAAUCUCAUGGCUUGGAGGUAGGAGCCUUUUGGAACUAGACUUGGCGCUCCGGUACCGCUUGCCGUGCGGUAGCAGAAAGAACAGUCUACGACGAGGGUGGCUGGAGUCUUUCAAAGUUUUUAGAGCCUUCCUCUGACACCGCCUGGUUUAGAGGUUCUGGAUGGCAGGAAGCUUGGCCCCAGUGACGUACUGGGCCGUAUCCACUACCCUCUACUGCCGAGCAGUUGCCAUACUAAGUGGUGUCGCAACCAGUCAGGAUGUUCUCGGUGGUGCAGCUGUAGAACAUUUUUAGGACCUGAGGCCCGUGCCAAAUAUUUUCAGCCUCCCGAGGGAGACUAGGCGUUAUUGAUGUAGACACCAAAGAACUUGAAGCUCUCGACCCGCUCCACUACA
This is a long non-coding RNA of Oncorhynchus keta (chum salmon), 1216 nucleotides long. RefSeq lists it as uncharacterized. The record is from RefSeq and is a predicted model, not a curated record. NCBI's taxonomy places the organism in Eukaryota, Metazoa, Chordata, Actinopteri, Salmoniformes, Salmonidae. The transcript is spliced from 3 exons.